CCUACGGGUGGCAGCAGUGAGGAAUAUUGGUCAAUGGUCGAGAGACUGAACCAGCCAAGUCGCGUGAAGGAUGAAUGCACAGUGGGUUGUAAACUUCUUUUAUCUGGGAAUAAAACAGGGUAUGCAUACCCUCUUGUAUGUACCAUAUGAAUAAGGAUCGGCUAACUCCGUGCCAGCAGCCGCGGUAAUACGGAGGAUCCGAGCGUUAUCCGGAUUUAUUGGGGUUAAAGGGUGCGUAGGUGGAUUGUUAAGUCAGUUGUGAAAGUUUGCGGCUCAACCGUAAAAUUGCAGUUGAAACUGGCAGUCUUGAGUUCAGUAGAGGUGUGCGGAAUUCGUGGUGUAGCGGUGAAAUGCUUAGAUAUCACGAAGAACUCCGAUUGCGAAGGCAGCUCACUGGACUGCAACUGACGCUGAUGCUCGAAAGUGUGGGUAUCGAACAGGAUUAGAUACCCGGGUAGUC
This 460-nucleotide ribosomal RNA is filed under the name uncultured bacterium. Its description in RNAcentral is "partial 16S ribosomal RNA". It matches the Rfam family "Bacterial small subunit ribosomal RNA", at positions 338 to 795 of the family's 1533-position model. The record is from RNAcentral.